AUGGCGCUCGUUCCACACGGCGGCGGCGCGUGCGGAUCGGCGACGAUGGCGAUACCUAUGCUGACCGCGGACAACUACACGGUCUGGGCCAUCCAGGCGCAGGCGAUCCUCGACGUGCACACCGUGUGGGAGGCGGUGGCGCCAGGCGACGCGGCGGUGAACGCGCGGAAGGACAAGACGGCGCGUGCGUUGCUACUCGGGGCGUUGCCGGAGGAUGUGUUGCUGCAGAUGUCGACGAAGCUCACCGCCAAGGAGGUAUGGGACUCCCUGAAGGUGAGGUUCGUCGGCGCCCAUCGGGUCCGUGCGGCGAAGCUGGCGACGCUGUGCGGCGAAUUUGACCGCCUGAAGAUGGCGGACGGCGAGGAGCUCGACGUGUACGGCGGGAGGCUCGCGGCGAUGGCGGCGAGGUACGCCAACCUCGGGGAGACGCUGGGCGACAUGGCGCUCGUCAAGAAGCUGCUUGAUACGGUGCCGGAUCGGCUCAUCCCCGUCGUCGCCGGCAUCGAGCAGUUCCACGACGUG
Molecule: ribosomal RNA, 522 nt
Filed under: Triticum aestivum (bread wheat)
Lineage: Eukaryota; Viridiplantae; Streptophyta; Magnoliopsida; Poales; Poaceae
Description: partial small subunit ribosomal RNA
Source: RNAcentral